GAAUGUAGAUGAAAAGAGAGAGAUGCGUCAACACACCUCUCUAGUGUAGAGCCGUUUGAGACGGUGACCUUUUGGAUUAAUUAAAAA
This 87-nucleotide small RNA is filed under the name Enterococcus faecalis. RNAcentral's name for it is "RNA anti-toxin A". It matches the Rfam family "RNA anti-toxin A". Lineage: Bacteria; Bacillati; Bacillota; Bacilli; Lactobacillales; Enterococcaceae. The record is from RNAcentral.